This 468-nucleotide ribosomal RNA is filed under the name uncultured bacterium. RNAcentral's name for it is "partial 16S ribosomal RNA". It matches the Rfam family "Bacterial small subunit ribosomal RNA", at positions 28 to 507 of the family's 1533-position model. The record is from RNAcentral.
AACGAACGCUGGCGGCGUGCUUAACACAUGCAAGUCGAACGGAAAGGCCCUGCUUUUGUGGGGUGCUCGAGUGGCGAACGGGUGAGUAACACGUGAGUAACCUGCCCUUGACUUUGGGAUAACUUCAGGAAACUGGGGCUAAUACCGGAUAGGAGCUCCCGCUGCGUGGUGAGGGUUGGAAAGUUUCGGCGGUUGGGGAUGGACUCGCGGCUUAUCAGCUUGUUGGUGGGGUAGUGGCUUACCAAGGCUUUGACGGGUAGCCGGCCUGAGAGGGUGACCGGCCACAUUGGGACUGAGAUACGGCCCAGACUCCUACGGGAGGCAGCAGUGGGGAAUAUUGCACAAUGGGCGGAAGCCUGAUGCAGCAACGCCGCGUGCGGGAUGACGGCCUUCGGGUUGUAAACCGCUUUCGCCUGUGACGAAGCGUGAGUGACGGUAAUGGGUAAAGAAGCACCGGCUAACUACGUG